RNAcentral lists this ribosomal RNA (477 nucleotides) under uncultured anaerobic ammonium-oxidizing bacterium. Its description in RNAcentral is "bacterial SSU rRNA". It matches the Rfam family "Bacterial small subunit ribosomal RNA", at positions 365 to 832 of the family's 1533-position model. The record is from RNAcentral.
UUCGCAAUGCCCGAAAGGGUGACGAAGCGACGCCGCGUGCGGGAAGAAGGCCUUCGGGUUGUAAACCACUGUUGGGAGUUAGGAAGUGUGGAGGUGUUAAUAGCGCUUUCACUUGACUAAAGCUCCAGAGGAAGCCACGGCUAACUCUGUGCCAGCAGCCGCGGUAAUACAGAGGCGGCAAGCGUUGUUCGGAAUUAUUGGGCGUAAAGAGCACGUAGGCGGCUCUGUAAGUCAGCUGUGAAAGCCUUCUGCUUAACGGAAGAACAGCAGUUGAAACUACAGGGCUUGAGUGCGGGAGGGGAGAGUGGAACUUCUGGUGGAGCGGUGAAAUGCGUAGAUAUCAGAAGGAACGCCGGCGGCGAAAGCGGCUCUCUGGUCCGCAACUGACGCUGAGUGUGCGAAAGCUAGGGGAGCAAACGGGAUUAGAUACCCCGGUAGUCCUAGCCGUAAACGAUGGGCACUAAGUAGAGGGGUUUU